UUAAGCGACUAAGCGUACACGGUGGAUGCCCUGGCAGUCAGAGGCGAUGAAGGACGUGCUAAUCUGCGAUAAGCGUCGGUAAGGUGAUAUGAACCGUUAUAACCGGCGAUUUCCGAAUGGGGAAACCCAGUGUGAUUCGUCACACUAUCAUUAACUGAAUCCAUAGGUUAAUGAGGCGAACCGGGGGAACUGAAACAUCUAAGUACCCCGAGGAAAAGAAAUCAACCGAGAUUCCCCCAGUAGCGGCGAGCGAACGGGGAGCAGCCCAGAGCCUGAAUCAGCAUGUGUGUUAGUGGAAGCGUCUGGAAAGGCGCGCGAUACAGGGUGACAGCCCCGUACACAAAAAUGCACAUGCUGUGAGCUCGAUGAGUAGGGCGGGACACGUGGUAUCCUGUCUGAAUAUGGGGGGACCAUCCUCCAAGGCUAAAUACUCCUGACUGACCGAUAGUGAACCAGUACCGUGAGGGAAAGGCGAAAAGAACCCCGGCGAGGGGAGUGAAAAAGAACCUGAAACCGUGUACGUACAAGCAGUGGGAGCACGCUUAGGCGUGUGACUGCGUACCUUUUGUAUAAUGGGUCAGCGACUUAUAUUCUGUAGCAAGGUUAACCGAAUAGGGGAGCCGAAGGGAAACCGAGUCUUAACUGGGCGUUAAGUUGCAGGGUAUAGACCCGAAACCCGGUGAUCUAGCCAUGGGCAGGUUGAAGGUUGGGUAACACUAACUGGAGGACCGAACCGACUAAUGUUGAAAAAUUAGCGGAUGACUUGUGGCUGGGGGUGAAAGGCCAAUCAAACCGGGAGAUAGCUGGUUCUCCCCGAAAGCUAUUUAGGUAGCGCCUCGUGAAUUCAUCUCCGGGGGUAGAGCACUGUUUCGGCAAGGGGGUCAUCCCGACUUACCAACCCGAUGCAAACUGCGAAUACCGGAGAAUGUUAUCACGGGAGACACACGGCGGGUGCUAACGUCCGUCGUGAAGAGGGAAACAACCCAGACCGCCAGCUAAGGUCCCAAAGUCAUGGUUAAGUGGGAAACGAUGUGGGAAGGCCCAGACAGCCAGGAUGUUGGCUUAGAAGCAGCCAUCAUUUAAAGAAAGCGUAAUAGCUCACUGGUCGAGUCGGCCUGCGCGGAAGAUGUAACGGGGCUAAACCAUGCACCGAAGCUGCGGCAGCGACGCUGAUGCGUUGUUGGGUAGGGGAGCGUUCUGUAAGCCUGCGAAGGUGUGCUGUGAGGCAUGCUGGAGGUAUCAGAAGUGCGAAUGCUGACAUAAGUAACGAUAAAGCGGGUGAAAAGCCCGCUCGCCGGAAGACCAAGGGUUCCUGUCCAACGUUAAUCGGGGCAGGGUGAGUCGACCCCUAAGGCGAGGCCGAAAGGCGUAGUCGAUGGGAAACAGGUUAAUAUUCCUGUACUUGGUGUUACUGCGAAGGGGGGACGGAGAAGGCUAUGUUGGCCGGGCGACGGUUGUCCCGGUUUAAGCGUGUAGGCUGGUUUUCCAGGCAAAUCCGGAAAAUCAAGGCUGAGGCGUGAUGACGAGGCACUACGGUGCUGAAGCAACAAAUGCCCUGCUUCCAGGAAAAGCCUCUAAGCAUCAGGUAACAUCAAAUCGUACCCCAAACCGACACAGGUGGUCAGGUAGAGAAUACCAAGGCGCUUGAGAGAACUCGGGUGAAGGAACUAGGCAAAAUGGUGCCGUAACUUCGGGAGAAGGCACGCUGAUAUGUAGGUGAAGCGACUUGCUCGUGGAGCUGAAAUCAGUCGAAGAUACCAGCUGGCUGCAACUGUUUAUUAAAAACACAGCACUGUGCAAACACGAAAGUGGACGUAUACGGUGUGACGCCUGCCCGGUGCCGGAAGGUUAAUUGAUGGGGUCAGCGCAAGCGAAGCUCUUGAUCGAAGCCCCGGUAAACGGCGGCCGUAACUAUAACGGUCCUAAGGUAGCGAAAUUCCUUGUCGGGUAAGUUCCGACCUGCACGAAUGGCGUAAUGAUGGCCAGGCUGUCUCCACCCGAGACUCAGUGAAAUUGAACUCGCUGUGAAGAUGCAGUGUACCCGCGGCAAGACGGAAAGACCCCGUGAACCUUUACUAUAGCUUGACACUGAACAUUGAGCCUUGAUGUGUAGGAUAGGUGGGAGGCUUUGAAGUGUGGACGCCAGUCUGCAUGGAGCCGACCUUGAAAUACCACCCUUUAAUGUUUGAUGUUCUAACGUUGACCCGUAAUCCGGGUUGCGGACAGUGUCUGGUGGGUAGUUUGACUGGGGCGGUCUCCUCCUAAAGAGUAACGGAGGAGCACGAAGGUUGGCUAAUCCUGGUCGGACAUCAGGAGGUUAGUGCAAUGGCAUAAGCCAGCUUGACUGCGAGCGUGACGGCGCGAGCAGGUGCGAAAGCAGGUCAUAGUGAUCCGGUGGUUCUGAAUGGAAGGGCCAUCGCUCAACGGAUAAAAGGUACUCCGGGGAUAACAGGCUGAUACCGCCCAAGAGUUCAUAUCGACGGCGGUGUUUGGCACCUCGAUGUCGGCUCAUCACAUCCUGGGGCUGAAGUAGGUCCCAAGGGUAUGGCUGUUCGCCAUUUAAAGUGGUACGCGAGCUGGGUUUAGAACGUCGUGAGACAGUUCGGUCCCUAUCUGCCGUGGGCGCUGGAGAACUGAGGGGGGCUGCUCCUAGUACGAGAGGACCGGAGUGGACGCAUCACUGGUGUUCGGGUUGUCAUGCCAAUGGCACUGCCCGGUAGCUAAAUGCGGAAGAGAUAAGUGCUGAAAGCAUCUAAGCACGAAACUUGCCCCGAGAUGAGUUCUCCCUGACUCCUUGAGAGUCCUGAAGGAACGUUGAAGACGACGACGUUGAUAGGCCGGGUGUGUAAGCGCAGCGAUGCGUUGAGCUAACCGGUACUAAUGAACCGUGAGGCUUAACCUU
Molecule: ribosomal RNA, 2902 nt
Filed under: human gut metagenome
Description: bacterial LSU rRNA
Rfam family: Bacterial large subunit ribosomal RNA
Source: RNAcentral